ACAGCUGCUGCUGACGUGCCCAGCGCCCGUACCCGAGGCCGUAUGAAUACGCGCGUGCCUUCCCGACGAUUGCGUCACCGUUGAGGACCGGGUCGUGCUUGCCGCAGCUCCACCAAAGCCACCGGAGCCGCCAUGGUCACGAGCUCCACGAACCCCAAGCCGGGCUCCAGCCCCCUCAUACCACAGAUCAUCACCACCCGAAGGCGGCAAGGGCGGCGGCGGCGGCGGCGGGGGCACAUCCACCACAUCAGAAUCCACCUCCACUAGCUCCCCAAGAACCGUAAUGUCGAUCGGGUACCAUAGAGUCGACGCACAUUUGCCAACAGGCACCUGCUCAGCCGCCGCGCCCGCCUACAGAUUCCGGCGCGGCUCGUCAAUGAAGAGCAGCUGGUGCCGCGGGAUUCGCUUUGGCCGAUCCGUAUGUAACCACACUCUGAAAUACUCCAUAUCAUGGCGACGCGCCGUGCUCUUAUCCACGCCCACCACAUAGCCAAGACCCCACAGGAUCACACCCGCCGUCCACUGGCACCAGGCAUGCGCAGGGACACCACGGAGCGACACCAGGACGAGGAACGGCAAAUGUGUUGCCGUGGCCUGAGCCUGGCGCAACCAAGGGCGCAACUUUAGCUCGAACUAGGGUGCAGUCAUCCUCUCUGCGCGGACCAUCCUCUCCGGGACCGCCCCGUCAUGGUAGAGUACCAGGAAAUCCUUGGGGUAAAACGCCCGAAUUGACAUGGCCUCCGUACCAACUCCAAACUUCGCGUGGAGCGCCGCUGCUGCCGAGGCCAGGUCAACCGCGGGGCGCGUACCGGCAAAGGUGACAAGCACGACACGGGUGAGCUACUCCUCCAACCGCGAGAUGUCCUCGGACGCCUCCAGGAAGCAUGCUUCCACCGGCUCCACCGGGAGAAGUUCCCUCGGUGCCAGCUCCACGCCACACGGGUUGAAAGGGACGGAGAAUUCCG
RNAcentral lists this long non-coding RNA (965 nucleotides) under Hordeum vulgare. RNAcentral's name for it is "long non-coding RNA (HVUL_LNC010116)". The record is from RNAcentral. Lineage: Eukaryota; Viridiplantae; Streptophyta; Magnoliopsida; Poales; Poaceae.